UACGUAGGGCGCAAGCGUUGUCCGGAAUUAUUGGGCGUAAAGAGCUCGUAGGCGGCCAGUUGCGUCUGCUGUGAAAUCCCGGGGCUCAACCCCGGGCGUGCAGUGGAUACGGGCUGGCUAGAGGCAGGCAGGGGAGAACGGAAUUCCCGGUGUAGCGGUGAAAUGCGCAGAUAUCGGGAGGAACACCGGUGGCGAAGGCGGUUCUCUGGGCCUGUACUGACGCUGAGGAGCGAAAGCGUGGGGAGCGAACGGG
This 253-nucleotide ribosomal RNA is filed under the name uncultured bacterium. Its description in RNAcentral is "partial 16S ribosomal RNA". It matches the Rfam family "Bacterial small subunit ribosomal RNA", at positions 524 to 776 of the family's 1533-position model. The record is from RNAcentral.